Molecule: ribosomal RNA, 406 nt
Filed under: uncultured bacterium
Lineage: Bacteria
Description: partial 16S ribosomal RNA
Rfam family: Bacterial small subunit ribosomal RNA
Source: RNAcentral
AUUGAACGCUGGCGGCAUGCUUUACACAUGCAAGUCGGACGAGUGGCGGACGGGUGAGUAACGCAUCGGAACGUACCGAGUGAUGGGGGAUAACUAUCCGAAAGGACAGCUAAUACCGCAUACUAUUCGAGCGGCCGAUGUCGGAUUAGGUAGUUGGCGGGGUAAAGGCUCACCAAGGCGACGAUCCGUAGCGGGUCUGAGAGGAUGACCCGCCACACUGGGACUGAGACACGGCCCAGACUCCUACGGGAGGCAGCAGUGGGGAAUAUUGGACAAUGGGCGCAAGCCUGACGCAGCCAUGCCGCGUGUCUGAAGAAGGCCUUCGGGUUGUAAAGGACUUUUGUCAGGGAAGCGUUACCUGAAGAAUAAGCACCGGCUAACUACGUGCCAGCAGCCGCGGUAAUUC